Non-coding RNA from Podarcis lilfordi (Lilford's wall lizard), 502 nucleotides. Lineage: Eukaryota; Metazoa; Chordata; Lepidosauria; Squamata; Lacertidae. The record is from the annotation of a GenBank genome assembly.
ACAAAGCGUCGAUGAUCAAUGCCUUUCAGCCUGGGAGAGAAAGUCUCAACCGCCAGCGUCUCUCUCUCUCUCUCCCAGGCAGAUUCAAGAGCCUCAAACCACCACCCUCUGGAAAUGUCAUUAUUCAAAAAAGGGGGUAUGAGAAAGGUCACCUCUAUUUCUGAAAUCAAAAGGCCAGAAGGAAUGGGAUGAACAAUCCUCCCUUUUAACUCGCUGUCUGGUGUGGGGACUAUCGCUCCGCGAAAAAGUGAGCAGUGACAGUUAGACAUCAACAUCAAAAUGGCUCUGAAGAACAGUUUUCAAAAUGGCCUUACUCCCUGCAGGCAACUGAUAACAGCUCACUAUUUCUGAUCAGGAAGUGAGUAAGUGAGUAAAUGAAUGAAUGAAUGAAUUUCAAUUGCAUUUACAUCCCAUUUUUCCUCCAAGGGGCACAAGGUGAUGUGUUCUCUCCCUCCUCAUUUAAUCUGCACAACAACCCUGAGAGAUAGGUUAGGCUCUAACC